RNAcentral lists this ribosomal RNA (619 nucleotides) under uncultured fungus. Its description in RNAcentral is "eukaryotic LSU rRNA". It matches the Rfam family "Eukaryotic large subunit ribosomal RNA", at positions 24 to 664 of the family's 3401-position model. The record is from RNAcentral. Lineage: Eukaryota; Fungi.
CCCGCUGAACUUAAGCAUAUCAAUAAGCGGAGGAAAAGAAACUAACAAGGAUUCCCCUAGUAACUGCGAGUGAAGCGGGAAGAGCUCAAAUUUGAAAUCUGGCGGCUUCGCCGUCCGAGUUGUAUUCUGGAGAGGAUGCUUUUGGUGAGGUGCCGUCCGAGUUCCCUGGAACGGGUCGCCGCAGAGGGUGAGAGCCCCGUCUGGCUGGCCACCGAGCCUCUGUAAAGCUCCUUCGACGAGUCGAGUAGUUUGGGAAUGCUGCUCAAAAUGGGAGGUAUAUGUCUUCUAAAGCUAAAUAUUGACCAGAGGCCGAUAGCGCACAAGUAGAGUGAUCGAAAGAUGAAAAGCACCUUGAAAAGAGGGUUAAACAGUACGUGAAAUUGUUGAAAGGGAAGCGCUUGUGACCAGACUUGGGCGCGGCGAAUCAUCCGGGGUUCUCUCCGGUGCACUUCGCCGUGUUCAGGCCAGCAUCAGUUCGGCGCGGGGGAAAAAGGCUUCGGGAACGUGGCUGCUCCGGCAGUGUUAUAGCCCGUUGCAUAAUACCCUGCGCUGGACUGAGGACCGCGCAUCUGCAAGGAUGCUGGCGUAAUGGUCACCAGCGACCCGUCUUGAAACACGG